Molecule: long non-coding RNA, 1679 nt
Organism: Peromyscus eremicus (cactus mouse)
Lineage: Eukaryota; Metazoa; Chordata; Mammalia; Rodentia; Cricetidae
Exons: 2
Source: RefSeq, a predicted model, not a curated record
UUAUGUGCAAGUGCAUAGUGUGUCUCUUUCUGUGUGUGCUCCUGUGUGUGGAGGUCAUAGUGGACUUUAGAUGCCUUUCUUUCAUUGCUCUUCACCUUACUUUUUUUGAGACAGGGUCUUUCAUUGAACUCAGAACUCAAGACUAGCUGCUGUCAAGCUUUAGGGUGGAUCUCUAUCUCUGCCCCUAAGUACUGUGAUCACAGACAUGUACUGUUGAGUCUGGGCUUUACGUGUGAGUGCUGGGGAUCAGAACCUUGGCCAUCUACCAGCUAAGCAUUCUCCUUGGACCACGUUUUUGCAUUUAUUUCAGUACUUUUUAUUGGAUGCCUUUUGGCCGAGAAUCUUCAUUGUUUCAGCUCUAUUCUAGACACUAGCAAAUGGGCACCAAAGUAACAUCUUUGUUUUAUCCAAUAAAAAUAACCUCAGAUGAAAUGAUGGUUGAAGGGCCCAGUGAAUUUUGUUAAUGCUCUCUAUGUUAUUGUAGGGGAUUGACAGAUGAUUGGCAGUCAAUAUCCUGAAAACCAAAUCUUAACUCAUGCUCACUUUGUCACCAUCAUUCACAUAUUCCUCAUGGCUGCUCUGGUGCUCCAAUAGCUGAGAAGCUGCACUGAAGACAUUUUUGGCCCACAAAGACUAAAACAUUCACGUUUUGUUCUUUACAGAGCAAGUUUGCUGACUCUGGUGGUGUCUGUUGUUGGAGAUUCUGAUGCAUGUGAUGUAUUCAAACUAUGAAAGCAGCCAUGUUUUCAUUUUCUUUCAUCUCUCCUGCCUCCAGUGAAUUUGAUCUUAGAAUAUUUGCUCAACUCACAUUUUUCUUGUAAGUUUUUGAGUGAGGGUCUUACUAUGUAGCCCUAACUGACCUGGAACUCACUAUGUAGACCAAGCUGGUGUGAUUCUUACAGAUCCAUCUGCUUCUGCCCCCUGGGAGCUGGGAUUAAAGUUGUACAUCAGAACAGCUGACUCAAUUCACUUUUUAGAAAUGAAUUAAUUUGGGAACAUUUCCCCUGUUAACAUUUCCCUGUUCAUGGACUAUUUCUCUGCUUGCUGUCAAAUUGGUCAUCUCUGUAACUUUUGCCUUUUGACUGGGCUUUAUAGCAGAAACAAACAUUCCACUUCCAGAAGUUGUAAUCCAGCUUCCCUCUGAAAAGUUUCAACAAGAGCCUAGACAUGUGGAGCCCAAGUCCCUUCCAGUUGGAGAAGACACUUCACCAGAUUCUCUGUGGGUUUUCUGUCCUUGCCUCAUCUGACUCAAUACAAAGACUACUCACUGGGAUUAUGCUUCAUUGUUUUCUGAGUCGUUGUUGAAACUGACAUUGAACUAGUCUGACUUUGAACAUAAGCUAGGCCUAAUGGAAGAGUCAAGGCAAUGUGGUGUGGAUUUUCAACAGAGCCCAAGACAACAGACAGGACUAUAACAGGCUUAAAGUCCAUCACAGAGAGGAAUCAGGUGGGAACUCAAGGCAGGAACCUGGAGGCAGGAGCUGAAGCAAGGAACAUGGAAGACUGUGGCUUACUGGCUUGCUCCCCAUGGCUUCCUCAGCCUGAUUUUACAACCCCAGACCCCUGUCAGGGGUGACACUGCCCCCAGUGGGCUGGGCCCUCCUACAUCAAUAAUGAAGAAAAUUCCUCCCCCACCCUCGACUUAUCUACAGAACAAUAAAAUGGAAGAAUUUUCUCAA